This 2091-nucleotide long non-coding RNA is filed under the name Podarcis muralis (Common wall lizard). RNAcentral's name for it is "lncRNA (ENSPMRG00000003526.1)". The record is from RNAcentral. Lineage: Eukaryota; Metazoa; Chordata; Lepidosauria; Squamata; Lacertidae.
CAUACACAUUUUUUUGCAUACAUAUUUUUGCAAGCCGGAAAUUAUAACUCUGUGAAAAAUGGACUACAGUUCCCAAGAUUCUUUUUGGGGGGUGGGGUGGGAAUAAGCUUUAGACAUGCUUUCUGCUUUAUAUGCUGCCUGAGUCUACGUAAGCUCUGCUUCCUGGACAACAAAACAUUGAGCAUGCUCUGUCUCCACAUUUUAAAACAUUUCUACAACCACUAAUACCAGAAACUGGCUUUUUAAAUUAUUUUUAUAAUAGCAAAUUUUUUUAAAGCUAUGAAUUGCAGCCAAUUCACCUAUCUGAUCGGGCACUAGAUACUGGAAUCUUUAUAAAAUUCAUUUGCACAGACACAGAAAACAAAUUUUCCUGGUCAUAACAUUGAAGUGUAACAUUUCUAAACUUCUAAAUCCCCUUCUCUUUAUGUUACUCUUUUGUAUUAUAUUUAUUCAUUUUCUUAUUGUGCGAUUCUCUUUCGCUCAGACACCUCCUUUGAUUUGGAUUCCAUUUUAUGGCCAAGAGGAGACGACGCCUUGUCUUGGAAGCAUAAAUCAGUUUCAGUAUGUGAGCUCCCAAUGUGAUAAGACAUAUGGAAGAGGAGAAGGUGUGUUUGCUGGAGCAGAUGUCUCCUUCGGUUUUGGUGAUUGCCAAAGUUGAAUGAUGUCAUAACGAUGCCAUGCGAUGGACAAGUUGGUACCUUCAGCCUCCUGCCAACUUUGGCCUGUGCAGCUGAUCCUAAUGACAUGCCCUUCAACAUUCCACCGCCGAAAAUUGGGACACACAGCUUUUGGUGCUGGGCUUUUUCACCGACCCUUUCUCCUCCCUGAGUUCGGUGGCGGGGCUGGAGGGGGGAAACAGGACAUUCUGGCACCCAAGCAGAAGCCAGGAUGGCUUCUGUAAUUCUGGGAUGUCCCAGGAAAAUCAGGACAGCUGAGGGGUAUGUAAUAAGGAUCUGGCUCAUGGAGCCAAAAAAACUUUCCCCACCCCUGAGUUAAAGGUGCUUUUCUCAGAAGCCUGAACUAGGGCCUAUGAUUUCAUAAUAUAGUGCUUGUUGAUUAUUUUGUCAAUAAAGGGGGUGGUGGGAAUUAUUAAGAAGUCUGACAAGACCCUCAGCAAUUUGUCAGUGGUCCCCAAAACCAUGCAAUUAGAGAGCCAUUGAAUUCACUGAUUUGAGUUUUCCCAAAGCAGAACAGAUUUGUAAGCUGCUUUGGCACAGGGAUGCGGGUGGCACUGUGGAUUAAACCACAGAGCCUAGGACUUGUCGAUCAGAAGGUCAGCGGUUCGAAUCCCCACGACGGGGUGAGCUCCCGUUGCUCGGUCCCUGCUCCUGCCAACCUAGCAGUUUGAAAGCACGUCAAAGUGCAAGUGGAUAAAUAGGUACCGCUCUGGCGGAAAGGUAAAUGGUGUUUCUGUGCGCCACAUGACCCAGAAGCUGUACUCCGGAUCCCUCGGCCAGUAAAGUAAGAUGAGCACCGCAACCCCAGGGGUCCCUUUACCUUUACUUUACCUUGGCUUCUGUUCAUUUUUAAACCAACUAACCAACCAACCAACCAACCAACCCGUAAAACACACUUGCUGCUGAUAUCUAUAUCUAUGUCUCAGUCUAUGUCUACAUUAAGAUUCAUUAUUGUGACUCUUAUGAUCAGUGACUGGUGAAAAACGAGAAGUCAGAGUUCAUUAGCCAUAUCCUAAGAAUAAAUAUGAGCUGCCAUAGGCAAGCUAUGAAAAGCGAGGCGUUUGUUUCUGGAGUUAUUUCUGUAUCACACCAAGUAGUUCAACCCCUGGAAAUUGGGAUCACUCCUGGCUUAAUAGAACUUUGGCAAGGACACCAAGGAUAAAGCCAAGUGUCACAAAACGUAGCGUCAGGAGAUCUUUUAUAUCCCUUCAGGGAGGAGGAACAUCUGCUUACCAUCCCAAUGACAGCCUUGCAUUUAUCCCUAAAGAAGUAAAGUGCAAUGUUAUCUGCUCCCAAGCACCAUAUUUGGGAUUUUAUUGAUGCCGUUAAGAUAGGCUAUUUAUGACCAUCAAAUAAUUUCAAAAGGGGUGCAAAGGGGGAAGCCUCUCAUUUAAAAAGCAGUGUGGUGUCAAAU